AUACUAAUAGGUUGAAAUAUGCACAUGUACAAUGUCUUUAGCUUGGCUUCUGAUGAGUUUAAAGUACAAGCCAAGUGCAACAAUCUUUCUCUAGGAUCAAGUUAAGUUAAUUUAAUGUACACAUAUGCAUGCCUAGACACAUUAAUUAAGACAUUUUUAAAAUUAUUUGCAGACCCAGAAUAAAAGUGUCUCAACAAGCACUGAAGAUCUUAUCCAGUUUCCAGAGAAGCAAGGGUGACACACGACGGAAUGUUUGCUUCUGAAUUGUUGUAUCAGUAUUUUGCCUACAUGGCCUCCAAAUUGACAGAGCCAGACAGGAGGCAGCUCAACUUUGAGUUACAUGAGCACAUAAAAAACUUUGUCAACCAAAGACCUUCAACUUAAAGACAAUUACUUUUGAUCCAGUGCGAGCAAAGGAAAACAAGAAGCGUCAGUUUGCUGUCAUGCCACAUCUCUAAAGUGUGUUCAAUUGUUCAUAAUUCUUAAGGUUUCUCUUGAUGCUAAAAAAAUUGACUUUGCAAUCUCCUUGUGACUCCUAACGCCAUCAGAGCUUACAGUCAAAGUAUGACGUGUCCAUGUCAUUGUCUGGGUGUGGAAUAAAAGCAGGCUCUUUCCAGCCUAAUCCCAAUCCAAGUUCGAGAAAAAGGCAUUGCUUUAACUUCUGAGAAAAAUUUAACAAAACAUGGUGUUGCUAGCUUAUAGAUAAAACAGUAAAAAUAAAAUGCACAGAGAGAGUGA
Molecule: long non-coding RNA, 738 nt
Organism: Pomacea canaliculata
Lineage: Eukaryota; Metazoa; Mollusca; Gastropoda; Architaenioglossa; Ampullariidae
Exons: 3
Source: RefSeq, a predicted model, not a curated record